Regulatory RNA element from Lysinibacillus odysseyi 34hs-1 = NBRC 100172, 77 nucleotides. It matches the Rfam family "Glycine riboswitch aptamer". From Rfam's summary of the family: This family represents the bacterial glycine riboswitch. Glycine riboswitches usually consist of two metabolite-binding aptamers domains with similar structures in tandem. NCBI's taxonomy places the organism in Bacteria, Bacillati, Bacillota, Bacilli, Caryophanales, Bacillaceae. The record is from Rfam.
GGAGCAUUUUCUGGAGAGAGCGCAUUAAGCGUCGCCGAAGGGUUCACUAUCUCAGGCAAAAGGACAGAAGGGUAAUA